CUUGUUUUGGAGGAAUAGCUCCAUAAGUUUAGAACUUAUUCAUACUGCAAAGUAGACAAGA
RNAcentral lists this transfer RNA (61 nucleotides) under Longidorus vineacola. RNAcentral's name for it is "tRNA-Leu". The record is from RNAcentral. Lineage: Eukaryota; Metazoa; Nematoda; Enoplea; Dorylaimida; Longidoridae.